RNAcentral lists this ribosomal RNA (257 nucleotides) under uncultured bacterium. RNAcentral's name for it is "partial 16S ribosomal RNA". It matches the Rfam family "Bacterial small subunit ribosomal RNA", at positions 524 to 778 of the family's 1533-position model. The record is from RNAcentral.
UACGGGGGGGGGCAAGCGUUGUUCGGAAUUACUGGGCGUAAAGGGCUCGUAGGCGGCCAACUAAGUCGGAUGUGAAAUCCCCAGGCUUAACCUGGGAACUGCAUCCGAUACUGGAUGGCUUGAAUCCGGGAGAGGGAUGCGGAAUUCCAGGUGUAGCGGUGAAACGCGUAGAUAUCUGGAGGAACACCGGUGGCGAAGGCGGCAUCCUGGACCGGCAUUGACGCUGAGGAGCGAAAGCCAGGGGGAGCAAAACGGGG